AUGUAUUUUUCCAUUACUAUAAUAACCUUAAUCUCCUUAACCUUACCAAUUAUUAUUACCUUUAUCAACCCUCACAAAAAGAACUCAUAUCCAUACUAUGUAAAAAUAGCUGUCGCAUGCACUUUCACCAUUAGCCUCAUUCCCACAACAUUUAUGUGUACAGACCAAGAAACCAUCAUCUCAAACUGAUAUUGAAUAACAAUCCAAACCCUAAAACUCUCAUUAAGCUUCAAACUAGACUAAUUCUCCAUAAUGUUUAUUCUAGUAGCACUAUUUAUCACUUGAUCUAUUAUAGAAUUCUCAAUAUGAUAUAUGAAGGCAGAUCUGAACAUUAAUCAGUUUUUCAAAUACCUACUUAUUUUCCUCACCACAAUAUUAAUUCUAGUUACUGCCAACAACAUUUUCCAACUCUUUAUCAGAUGAGAGGGUGUAGGAAUUAUAUCUUUUCUACUAAUUGGCUGAUGACAUGGCCAAGCAGAUGCUAACACAGCAGCCCUCCAAGCAAUUCUAUACAAUCGCAUUGGUGACAUUGGCUUUAUUUUAGCUAUAGCAUGAUUCCUCUCAUCAUCCAAUACAUGAGAGCCUCAACAAAUACUUAUCCUUAACCCUACCCCCAACCUUCUUCCAUUAAUUGGUUUUCUCUUAGCAGCAGCAGGAAAAUCAGCCCAACUUGGCCUCCACCCCUGACUUCCUUCCGCCUUGGAAGGCCCAACCCCAGUCUCAGCCCUACUUCACUCUAGCACUAUAGUUGUGGUGGGAGUUUUCCUACUUACCCGCUUCCACCCCUCAACAUCACUAA
Molecule: long non-coding RNA, 799 nt
Filed under: Homo sapiens (human)
Lineage: Eukaryota; Metazoa; Chordata; Mammalia; Primates; Hominidae
Description: non-protein coding lnc-ALS2CR12-2:1
Source: RNAcentral